AUAGCUAGCAAUGGACAUGAUCAAAUUGUAAUGUAAUGUCUUAAUCAGUAUAGAUAUGUAAUGAGAUGAUGUUUAUGGAUGUUAGAGGGGUGCUUGACCAUAGACUGUUGUUAUCCCUUUUAAUACAUGAUCUUAGAGAUUUUUAUGAUGUUUAUGUAAACCAACUCAACAUAUGUUAUGUCACCCAUUUGGGGGCACUGAUGAGAUCCCACAGAGGGAUCAAUGUUAUGUUAAUGUAUAUGCACAGGUUGAGUUUGGUUGAUGUA
Molecule: long non-coding RNA, 266 nt
Filed under: Manihot esculenta (cassava)
Lineage: Eukaryota; Viridiplantae; Streptophyta; Magnoliopsida; Malpighiales; Euphorbiaceae
Description: long non-coding RNA (MESC_LNC009674)
Source: RNAcentral